RNAcentral lists this ribosomal RNA (763 nucleotides) under uncultured Streptococcus sp. RNAcentral describes it as "bacterial SSU rRNA". It matches the Rfam family "Bacterial small subunit ribosomal RNA", at positions 28 to 776 of the family's 1533-position model. Lineage: Bacteria; Bacillati; Bacillota; Bacilli; Lactobacillales; Streptococcaceae. The record is from RNAcentral.
GACGAACGCAGGCGGCGUGCCUAAUACAUGCAAGUAGAACGCUGAAGGAGGAGCUUGCUCUUCUGGAUGAGUUGCGAACGGGUGAGUAACGCGUAGGUAACCUGCCUGGUAGCGGGGGAUAACUAUUGGAAACGAUAGCUAAUACCGCAUAAGAGUAGAUAUCGCAUGAUAGCUGCUUGAAAGGUGCAGUUGCACCACUACCAGAUGGACCUGCGUUGUAUUAGCUAGUUGGUGAGGUAACGGCUCACCAAGGCAACGAUACAUAGCCGACCUGAGAGGGUGAUCGGCCACACUGGGACUGAGACACGGCCCAGACUCCUACGGGAGGCAGCAGUAGGGAAUCUUCGGCAAUGGACGAAAGUCUGACCGAGCAACGCCGCGUGAGUGAAGAAGGUUUUCGGAUCGUAAAGCUCUGUUGUAAGAGAAGAACGAGUGUGAGAGUGGAAAGUUCACACUGUGACGGUAUCUUACCAGAAAGGGACGGCUAACUACGUGCCAGCAGCCGCGGUAAUACGUAGGUCCCGAGCGUUGUCCGGAUUUAUUGGGCGUAAAGCGAGCGCAGGCGGUUAGAUAAGUCUGAAGUUAAAGGCUGUGGCUUAACCAUAGUACGCUUUGGAAACUGUUUAACUUGAGUGCAAGAGGGGAGAGUGGAAUUCCAUGUGUAGCGGUGAAAUGCGUAGAUAUAUGGAGGAACACCGGUGGCGAAAGCGGCUCUCUGGCUUGUAACUGACGCUGAGGCUCGAAAGCGUGGGGAGCAAACAGG